RNAcentral lists this ribosomal RNA (821 nucleotides) under uncultured fungus. Its description in RNAcentral is "eukaryotic LSU rRNA". It matches the Rfam family "Eukaryotic large subunit ribosomal RNA", at positions 30 to 821 of the family's 3401-position model. The record is from RNAcentral. Lineage: Eukaryota; Fungi.
GAACUUAAGCAUAUCAAUAAGCGGAGGAAAAGAAACUAACAAGGAUUCCCCUAGUAACUGCGAGUGAGGCGGGAAAAGCUCAAAUUUAAAAUCUGGUGGUCCCGAGUUGGCUGCCCGAGUUGUAAUCUAGAGAAGUGCUUUCCGCGCUGGACCGUGUACAAGUCUCUUGGAACGGAGCGUCGUAGAGGGUGACAAUCCCGUCUUUGACACGGACUGCCAGGGCUUAUGUGAUGCGCUCUCGAAGAGUCGAGUUGUUUGGGAAUGCAGCUCAAAAUGGGUGGUAAAUUCCAUCUAAAGCUAAAUAUGGGCGAGAGACCGAUAGCGAACAAGUACCGUGAGGGAAAGAUGAAAAGAACUUUGAAAAGAGAGUUAAACAGUACGUGAAAUUGUUGAAAGGGAAACGAUUCAAGUCAGUCGCGUUGGCCGGUAAUCAACCCUUGCGAAGGCGGGGGCUUACUUUCCGUCUGACGGGUCAGCAUCAAUUUUGACCGUCAGAUAAAGGUUUGGGGAACGUGGCAUCUUCGGAUGUGUUAUAGCCCCUUGUCAGAUGUGACGGUUGGGAUUGAGGAACUUGGCACGCCCGCAAAGGGUCGGGGCUUUUUGCCCACGUAACGUGCUUUGGAUGCUGGCAUAAUGGCUUGAACCGACCCGUCUUGAAACACGGACCAAGGAGUCUAACAUGCCUGCGAGUGUUUGGGUGGCAAACUCGAGCGCGAAGUGAAAGUGAAACUUGUCGAGAUCUCUGUCGUGGGGAGCACCGACGCCCGGACCUGACCUUUUGUGAAGGAUCCGCGGUUGAGCAUGCAUGUUGGGACCCGAAA